CAUCAAAGCUUGCUUUGAUGGAUGGCGACCGGCGCACGGGUGAGUAACACGUAUCCAACCUGCCGACAACACUGGGAUAGCCUUUCGAAAGAAAGAUUAAUACCGGAUGGUAUAGUUUUCCCGCAUGGGAUGAUUAUUAAAGAAUUUCGGUUGUCGAUGGGGAUGCGUUCCAUUAGGCAGUUGGCGGGGUAACGGCCCACCAAACCUACGAUGGAUAGGGGUUCUGAGAGGAAGGUCCCCCACAUUGGAACUGAGACACGGUCCAAACUCCUACGGGAGGCAGCAGUGAGGAAUAUUGGUCAAUGGACGAGAGUCUGAACCAGCCAAGUAGCGUGAAGGAUGACUGCCCUAUGGGUUGUAAACUUCUUUUAUACGGGAAUAAAGUGAGCCACGUGUGGCUUUUUGUAUGUACCGUAUGAAUAAGGAUCGGCUAACUCCGUGCCAGCAGCCGCGGUAAUACGGAGGAUCCGAGCGUUAUCCGGAUUUAUUGGGUUUAAAGGGAGCGUAGGCGGGUUGUUAAGUCAGUUGUGAAAGUUUGCGGCUCAACCGUAAAA
This 554-nucleotide ribosomal RNA is filed under the name uncultured bacterium. RNAcentral describes it as "bacterial SSU rRNA". It matches the Rfam family "Bacterial small subunit ribosomal RNA", at positions 71 to 620 of the family's 1533-position model. The record is from RNAcentral.